AACUUUAUGGAGAGUUUGAUCCUGGCUCAGAGUGAACGCUGGCGGCGUGCCUAAUACAUGCAAGUCGAACGAUGAAGCCUAGCUUGCUAGGCGGAUUAGUGGCGCACGGGUGAGUAACGCAUAGAUGACAUGCCCUUUAGUUUGGGAUAGCCACUAGAAAUGGUGAUUAAUACCAAAUACCACCCUACGGGGGAAAGAUUUAUCGCUAAAGGAUUGGUCUAUGUCCUAUCAGCUUGUUGGUGAGGUAAAGGCUCACCAAGGCAAUGACGGGUAUCCGGCCUGAGAGGGUGAACGGACACACUGGAACUGAGACACGGUCCAGACUCCUACGGGAGGCAGCAGUAGGGAAUAUUGCUCAAUGGGCGCAAGCCUGAAGCAGCAACGCCGCGUGGAGGAUGAAGGUUUUAGGAUUGUAAACUCCUUUUGUGAGAGAAGAUAAUGACGGUAUCUCACGAAUAAGCACCGGCUAACUCCGUGCCAGCAGCCGCGGUAAUACGGAGGGUGCAAGCGUUACUCGGAAUCACUGGGCGUAAAGAGUGCGUAGGCGGGGUUGUAAGUCAGGUGUGAAAUCCUAUGGCUUAACCAUAGAACUGCAUUUGAAACUACAACCCUAGAGUGUGGGAGAGGUAGGUGGAAUUCUUGGUGUAGGGGUAAAAUCCGUAGAGAUCAAGAGGAAUACUCAUUGCGAAGGCGACCUGCUGGAACAAUACUGACGCUGAUUGCACGAAAGCGUGGGGAGCAAACAGGAUUAGAUACCCUGGUAGUCCACGCCCUAAACGAUGGAUGCUAGUUGUUGGGGGGCUUUGUCCUCCCAGUAAUGCAGCUAACGCCUUAAGCAUCCCGCCUGGGGAGUACGGUCGCAAGAUUAAAACUCAAAGGAAUAGACGGGGACCCGCACAAGCGGUGGAGCAUGUGGUUUAAUUCGAAGAUACACGAAGAACCUUACCUAGGCUUGACAUUGAAGGAAUCUGCUAGAAAUAGCGGAGUGUCUAGCUUGCUAGACCCUGAAAACAGGUGCUGCACGGCUGUCGUCAGCUCGUGUCGUGAGAUGUUGGGUUAAGUCCCGCAACGAGCGCAACCCUCUUUCUUAGUUGCUAACAGGUUAAGCUGAGCUCUCUAAGAAUACUGCCUGCGUAAGCAGGAGGAAGGUGAGGACGACGUCAAGUCAUCAUGGCCCUUACGCCUAGGGCUACACACGUGCUACAAUGGGGUGCACAAAGAGAUGCAAUGCCGCGAGGCUGAGCCAAUCUUAAAAACGCCUCUCAGUUCGGAUUGCAGGCUGCAACUCGCCUGCAUGAAGCUGGAAUCGCUAGUAAUCGCAAAUCAGCCAUGUUGCGGUGAAUACGUUCCCGGGUCUUGUACUCACCGCCCGUCACACCAUGGGAGUUGUGUUUGCCUUAAGUCAGGAUGCUAAAGCAGCUACUGCCCACGGCACACACAGCGACUGGGGUGAAGUCGUAACAAGGUAACCGUAGGUGAACCUGCGGUUGGAUCACCUCCUUUCUU
RNAcentral lists this ribosomal RNA (1506 nucleotides) under Helicobacter heilmannii. RNAcentral describes it as "bacterial SSU rRNA". It matches the Rfam family "Bacterial small subunit ribosomal RNA". Lineage: Bacteria; Pseudomonadati; Campylobacterota; Epsilonproteobacteria; Campylobacterales; Helicobacteraceae. The record is from RNAcentral.